AACGAACGCUGGCGGCAGGCCUAACACAUGCAAGUCGAGCGCUCCGCAAGGGGAGCGGCAGACGGGUGAGUAACGCGUGGGAACCUAGCCUACGGUCGGGAAUAGCUCAGGGAAACUUGGGGUAAUACCGGAUACGCCCUUACGGGAAAGAUUUAUCGCCGUUGGAUGGGCCCGCGUCGGAUUAGCUAGUUGGUGAGGUAAUGGCUCACCAAGGCGACGAUCCGUAGCUGGUCUGAGAGGANGAUCAGCCACACUGGGACUGAGACACGGCCCAGACUCCUACGGGAGGCAGCAGUGGGGAAUAUUGGACAAUGGGCGCAAGCCUGAUCCAGCCAUGCCGCGUGAGUGACGAAGGCC
RNAcentral lists this ribosomal RNA (357 nucleotides) under uncultured bacterium. Its description in RNAcentral is "bacterial SSU rRNA". It matches the Rfam family "Bacterial small subunit ribosomal RNA", at positions 29 to 416 of the family's 1533-position model. The record is from RNAcentral.